GAUGAACGCUGGCGGCGUGCCUAAUACAUGCAAGUCGAGCGAACAGACGAGGAGCUUGCUCCUCUGACGUUAGCGGCGGACGGGUGAGUAACACGUGGAUAACCUACCUAUAAUACUGGGAUAACUUCGGGACACCGGAGCUAAUACCGGAUAAUAUAUUGAACCGCAUGGUUCAAUAGUGAAAGACGGUUUUGCUGUCACUUAUAGAUGGAUCCGCGCCGCAUUAGCUAGUUGGUAAGGUAACGGCUUACCAAGGCGACGAUGCGUAGCCGACCUGAGAGAGUGAUCGGCCACACUGGAACUGAGACACGGUCCAGACUCCUACGGGAGGCAGCAGUAGGGAAUCUUCCGCAAUGGGCGAAAGCCUGACGGAGCAACGCCGCGCGAGUGAUGAAGGUCUUCGGAUCGUAAAACUCUGUUAUUAGGGAAGAACAAAUGUGUAAGUAACUAUGCACGUCUUGACGGUACCUAAUCAGAAAGCCACGGCUAACUACGUG
RNAcentral lists this ribosomal RNA (497 nucleotides) under uncultured bacterium. RNAcentral describes it as "partial 16S ribosomal RNA". It matches the Rfam family "Bacterial small subunit ribosomal RNA", at positions 28 to 507 of the family's 1533-position model. The record is from RNAcentral.